AGAGUUUGAUCCUGGCUCAGAACGAACGCUGGCGGCGUGGAUAAGACAUGCAAGUCGAACGAGAGAAUUGCUAGCUUGCUAAUAAUUCUCUAGUGGCGCACGGGUGAGUAACACGUGAGUAACCUGCCCCCGAGAGCGGGAUAGCCCUGGGAAACUGGGAUUAAUACCGCAUAGAAUCGCAAGAUUAAAGCAGCAAUGCGCUUGGGGAUGGGCUCGCGGCCUAUUAGUUAGUUGGUGAGGUAACGGCUCACCAAGGCGAUGACGGGUAGCCGGUCUGAGAGGAUGUCCGGCCACACUGGAACUGAGACACGGUCCAGACACCUACGGGUGGCAGCAGUCGAGAAUCAUUCACAAUGGGGGAAACCCUGAUGGUGCGACGCCGCGUGGGGGAAUGAAGGUCUUCGGAUUGUAAACCCCUGUCAUGUGGGAGCAAAUUAAAAAGAUAGUACCACAAGAGGAAGAGACGGCUAACUCUGUGCCAGCAGCCGCGGUAAUACAGAGGUCUCAAGCGUUGUUCGGAAUCACUGGGCGUAAAGCGUGCGUAGGCUGUUUCGUAAGUCGUGUGUGAAAGGCGCGGGCUCAACCCGCGGACGGCACAUGAUACUGCGAGACUAGAGUAAUGGAGGGGGAACCGGAAUUCUCGGUGUAGCAGUGAAAUGCGUAGAUAUCGAGAGGAACACUCGUGGCGAAGGUGGGUUCAUGGACAUUGACGGACAGGGAUGCAGGAAGCCGAGGGGUGCGAACAGGAGUAGAUACGCGGGUGGUCCAGGCAGGAAACGGUGCGUAUCUUGGUAGUCGGGUAAUGGUCUCCCCUGCUUGCGAGGAGAGAAUGGAUUUAGGGGACGGUCGUCAGAGUGGGGUAGCAUGAUUAAAAAUCACAGAAAUGGGGCGGGUCCCGCGCUAGUGGCGGAGUAUGUGCGCUUUAUUCGACAUGUCUGUACAGAGCGUUAUCCCGGCAUUACAUGGAUAUGCAGUACAUCCGCAAGCGUGUGAGUUGUUGGAGGUGUUAGCCAGGUGAUGCAUGACCGUAGUGAGUUAGUGUGGUGAGAAGUUGGGGAAAGUCCAACAAGGAGCGCACCUCUCGUUGCCAGUUGCCAGCUUGUGAAGGUGGGGAGUCUGGAGAGGUUUCCCAGAUCAAAAGGGGGCAAGGAGGGGAAGACGAUCAGGUCAGUAUGGGCUCUAUCCCUCAGGCACGCCCGGGUUUUCCAAUGCCCAGUACAGAGGGGGCUGAAGCGCGGGAGGGGGAGGGAAUCCCGAUAUCUGGCCCCAGUUAGGUCUGUAGGCGGACAACCCCCAUACUAUGAAGCCGGCAUCGCUAGUAAUGCAGCAUCAGCUUCGGCGCCGGGAAUACGUUCCCGUGUCUUGCACUCACCGCCCGUCA
RNAcentral lists this ribosomal RNA (1381 nucleotides) under uncultured bacterium. RNAcentral's name for it is "partial 16S ribosomal RNA". It matches the Rfam family "Bacterial small subunit ribosomal RNA". The record is from RNAcentral.